Molecule: long non-coding RNA, 697 nt
Organism: Asparagus officinalis (garden asparagus)
Lineage: Eukaryota; Viridiplantae; Streptophyta; Magnoliopsida; Asparagales; Asparagaceae
Exons: 3
Source: RefSeq, a predicted model, not a curated record
GUGGCGCCUCGCGAGAGCGAUGGAAUCCCAGGCGAGCCCUCGGACGCCGUGGUGUUUGUCGGGAUCUCUCUCGUUCUCGGAAUCGCUUCAAGGCACGUGCUUCGGGGGGCUAGAGUUCCGUACACCGUCGCUCUUCUCAUCAUCGGCAUUGUCAUGGGAUCUCUAGAUGAGAUUUCUUGCACACAAGGUGUUUGAUAUAAUGCAUUGGUGAGAACAAAUGGUUUUAUUAGAGAGAAUGACUCAAUCUCAGGUGAAAACCCAGAGAUGAUUAGUUGUUCAGAAUAAUAGUUUUGAUUUGUCUUAGUGAGUGCAUUCUGUGGUGAGAGAGGAAUGGACAGUUAAAAUUUUUGAUAAGGGAAUGCUCUAUGAAGGAGUGCCUGAAGAUAGAAUGGUGAAGCUUCUUCAGAUUGCAUUAAAGUGCAUAUACAAAUCUGCCGAUGCUCGACCAACUAUGAGUCAAGUUGCCGAGAUGAUACAUUCAUUGAAGGAAGAAGAUGAUAGAUCUGUUGUGUCUGAAAUUGAUUCAAGAGAUGCUUAAAAUUGGGGAGUUUGUUUUUAUAAUGUCCUGGAAUUUAUGUAUAUGUUCCGUUUGACUAUUAUCAUUUGCUAGUGUAUAUGUGUUGGUCACAUAUGAGGAGGUGGAAAACAUUGUUUAUUUGUUACACUGAUGACAUAGGUGAUAUUAGUCCAAAUGGUG